GGAGAUGUGGCCGAGUGGCCGAAGGCACAUCCCUGCUAAGGAUGCAUAUGGGGUAACCUGUAUCGUGAGUUCGAAUCUCACCAUCUCCGCCA
This 92-nucleotide transfer RNA is filed under the name Massilia antarctica. RNAcentral describes it as "tRNA-Ser". It matches the Rfam family "tRNA". From Rfam's summary of the family: Transfer RNA (tRNA) molecules are approximately 80 nucleotides in length. Lineage: Bacteria; Pseudomonadati; Pseudomonadota; Betaproteobacteria; Burkholderiales; Oxalobacteraceae. The record is from RNAcentral.